Suricata suricatta (meerkat) is the source of this 786-nucleotide long non-coding RNA. RefSeq lists it as uncharacterized. NCBI's taxonomy places the organism in Eukaryota, Metazoa, Chordata, Mammalia, Carnivora, Herpestidae. The transcript is spliced from 3 exons. The record is from RefSeq and is a predicted model, not a curated record.
CUCAGAAGCUUUAGGUAGAACUACAUACGACAGUAAAGAGAUGGAGUGUCACAUUCCCUCGGAGCCUUGUCAUCUCAAGACUACCAUACUGCAUAAAGUCCUGGGAAGUAACACAAAGAUUACAGGGCAGAUUGUAAUUGGCCAGACGCUUCGGUUCACCUUGCCCUGAAAACUUGUUGGUAGGCUGCUCCAGAAUGAAGCUGAACAUCUCUUUCCCAGCUCCUGACUGCCAGAAACUCAUUGAAGUUUGCAAUGAAUGCAAACUUUGUACCUUUUAUGAGAAGCCUAUGGCUACAGAAGUUGCCUGUGAUGCUCUGGGUGAAGAGUGGAAGAGUUACGUGGUCUAAAUGAGUGGUGACAAUGACAAACAAGGCUUUUCUCCAUGAAGAGGGGGUAGUUUGACCUAUGGCUGUGCUAAGUAAGGGGCAUCCCUGCUCCAGACCAAGGAGGACUGGAGUGCAAGUGCAAAUCUGUUUGGGGUUGCAUUGUGGAUGCCAAGCUCACUGUUCUCAACUUGGUCACUGUAGAAAGGAGAGAAGGAUAUUCCUGGACUCACUGAUUCUAUGGUGCCUUGUCAUCUGGGGCCCAAAAGAACAAGCAGAAUCAACAAACUUUUCAAUCUCUGUAAAGGGGGUGCCUGGGUGGCUCAGUCAAUUAAGCGUCCAACUUCAGCUCAGGUCAUGAUCCCACGGUUCGUGAGUUUGAGCCCCACAUCGGGCUCACUGCUGUUUUCACAGAGCCUGCUUCGGAUCCACUGCCCUCUGUCUCUCGGCAACCCCUCCCACU